RNAcentral lists this ribosomal RNA (515 nucleotides) under uncultured archaeon. RNAcentral's name for it is "bacterial SSU rRNA". It matches the Rfam family "Archaeal small subunit ribosomal RNA", at positions 345 to 859 of the family's 1478-position model. The record is from RNAcentral.
AACCUUUACACUGCACGCCAGUGCGAUAAGGGGACUCCAAGUGCGAGGGCAUAUAGUCCUCGCUUUUCUGGACCGUAAGGAGGUCCAGGAACAAGGGCUGGGCAAGACCGGUGCCAGCCGCCGCGGUAAUACCGGCAGCCCAAGUGAUGGCCGCUCUUAUUGGGCCUAAAGCGUCCGUAGCUGGCCAGGCAAGUCCGUCGGGAAAUCCGCGUGCCCAACACGCGGGCGUCCGGUGGAAACUGCCUGGCUUGGGACCGGAAGACCAGAGGGGUACGUCCGGGGUAGGAGUGAAAUCCCGUAAUCCUGGACGGACCGCCGAUGGCGAAAGCACGUCGCGAGAACGGAUCCGACAGUGAGGGACGAAAGCUAGGGUCUCGAACCGGAUUAGAUACCCGGGUAGUCCUAGCCGUAAACAAUGCCUGCUAGGUGUGGCUCCCACUACGAGUGGGUGCUGUGCCGUAGGGAAGCCGCUAAGCAGGCCGCCUGGGAAGUACGUCCGCAAGGAUGAAACUUAA